CACAUAAAUUGAGGCAAAAAAACAUUAUUUUUUUGGCUCCCCCACCAAUUGUUCGAAGUUCACGUUAGAACUCUAAUUAAAUUAUAACCACACAAUACAUGAUCCAUUCAAAAAUAAUAAUACUCCUAAUAUAAUUUUCACCUACUCAGAACUCAAACCCGAGACCUCUAAUUACGUUCUAUAUAAGUUACUUAAAUCGCUUUUAUACGUAAAAGACUUGGGCCAAAUUAAUUCCAAAAAAUUAAAGAGUAUUUUUGUUAUUUUGCCACUUAUAUAUAUCAUCUAUAAAUAUAUAAUUUUAACCCACCAUCAACUUAGGAUCUAAAUUUUUUCAAAUUCAAUAAAAUUUCAUUGUUGGCUAAUGAAGAAGUUGUUCAAAAUUCUCUUAUUGCUUUCUAUAAUUUGUCUUCUCCUAACCUCAGCCGUCUCUAAAGGCGGCGGCGGAAGGGGAGGCGGCGGCGGAAGAUCUAGUCGAGGCUCAAAAAACAGAGGCCGUCGCGGCGGCGCUGGGUGGCGGCCGAUACCUUACGGUGGUCAUCCGGCGAGUAGCAGUGCAUCUAAUUCAUUAGGAAAUUUGGAAAUAUAUAUCUAAAGAUAUUCACAACAAUCUUUUUGAUUAAGCGGCGAUUAAAGGCGGCAUAGGAGGAGGAGGACGCGGAGGAGGAGGAAGUUCCCGGGGAUUCACAAGGCGGAGAACCGGUGGCGAUCUUAAUAAGAAGCACCAAUAUUAUUCAAGUUCUUCAUCUUACUCUAACCUUGCUUCAAAUAGUCUAUUUAUUCACUUCCUUGUUGCUCUUUUUUUGUUGUAAGUACAUAAGUUGCUGGCGAAUUUAUGAUCUCGAGUCAGUAAAUUCAGAAUAUAUGUGAUUUAUUAUUGUAUGCAAGGAUGUAUCUAAGACGAGUUGUGAGUACAAAGUUGGAGACAAAUAUAUGAUCUCGAGUCAAUUAAUUCACCA
Long non-coding RNA from Solanum lycopersicum (tomato), 956 nucleotides. RefSeq lists it as uncharacterized. NCBI's taxonomy places the organism in Eukaryota, Viridiplantae, Streptophyta, Magnoliopsida, Solanales, Solanaceae. The record is from RefSeq and is a predicted model, not a curated record.